GAUGAACGCUGGCGGCGUGCUUAACACAUGCAAGUCGAACGGAAAGGCUCCUGCUUGCAGGGGUACUCGAGUGGCGAACGGGUGAGUAACACGUGGGUGAUCUGCCCUGCACUUCGGGAUAAGCCUGGGAAACUGGGUCUAAUGCCGGAUAGGACGAUGGUUUGGAUGCCAUUGUGGAAAGUUUUUUCGGUGUGGGAUGAGCUCGCGGCCUAUCAGCUUGUUGGUGGGGUAAUGGCCUACCAAGGCGUCGACGGGUAGCCGGCCUGAGAGGGUGUACGGCCACAUUGGGACUGAGAUACGGCCCAGACUCCUACGGGAGGCAGCAGUGGGGAAUAUUGCACAAUGGGCGCAAGCCUGAUGCAGCGACGCCGCGUGGGGGAUGACGGCCUUCGGGUUGUAAACUCCUUUCGCUAGGGACGAAGCGCAAGUGACGGUACCUGGAGAAGAAGCACCGGCUAACUACGUG
This 466-nucleotide ribosomal RNA is filed under the name uncultured bacterium. RNAcentral's name for it is "partial 16S ribosomal RNA". It matches the Rfam family "Bacterial small subunit ribosomal RNA", at positions 28 to 507 of the family's 1533-position model. The record is from RNAcentral.